This 439-nucleotide ribosomal RNA is filed under the name uncultured bacterium. RNAcentral describes it as "partial 16S ribosomal RNA". It matches the Rfam family "Bacterial small subunit ribosomal RNA", at positions 339 to 795 of the family's 1533-position model. The record is from RNAcentral.
CUACGGGUCGCUCCAGCGGGGAAUAUUGCACAAUGGAGGAAACUCUGAUGCAGCAACGCCGCGUGGAGGAUGACACUUUUCGGAGCGUAAACUCCUUUUAUAUAGGAAGAUAAUGACGGUACUAUAUGAAUAAGCACCGGCUAACUCCGUGCCAGCAGCCGCGGUAAUACGGAGGGUGCAAGCGUUACUCGGAAUCACUGGGCGUAAAGAGCGUGUAGGCGGGUUAAUAAGUCAGAAGUGAAAUCCUAUGGCUCAACCAUAGAACUGCUUUUGAAACUGUUAACCUAGAGUGUGGGAGAGGUAGAUGGAAUUUCUGGUGUAGGGGUAAAAUCCGUAGAGAUCAGAAGGAAUACCGAUUGCGAAGGCGAUCUACUGGAACAUAACUGACGCUGAGACGCGAAAGCGUGGGGAGCAAACAGGAUUAGAUACCCCCGUAGUC